CCCAGCCAACGACCCGCACCUGCACCUCAUCAGCCACCUCGUCAGUCUGCCACACCUGCCACUAGUCAACCUCAUCUCUGCCUGUAUUUCAACCCCGGUCCUCCACACCAUUCUUGCUUGAUCGUCGUUGCUCCAUACCUGGUUCACUCACCUCCGGACCUCUCCUCUUCGGGCUUCCCCCACGGCAUCCUCCCUUCCUUGGCCCCAGUGUUGCCCGGCUCCCUGGUUCCCAUCCCGUCGGCUUCCCUGUGCCACUGUUUCCCCGGCAUCCUCCUUUCCCUGCACUCCAGUCCCUCAACCCCCCUUUUUCCUAAAUAAACCUCCUUCGCUCAGA
Micropterus salmoides (largemouth bass) is the source of this 334-nucleotide long non-coding RNA. RefSeq lists it as uncharacterized. The transcript is spliced from 2 exons. Lineage: Eukaryota; Metazoa; Chordata; Actinopteri; Centrarchiformes; Centrarchidae. The record is from RefSeq and is a predicted model, not a curated record.